This 472-nucleotide ribosomal RNA is filed under the name uncultured Psychrobacter sp. Its description in RNAcentral is "bacterial SSU rRNA". It matches the Rfam family "Bacterial small subunit ribosomal RNA", at positions 32 to 497 of the family's 1533-position model. Lineage: Bacteria; Pseudomonadati; Pseudomonadota; Gammaproteobacteria; Moraxellales; Moraxellaceae. The record is from RNAcentral.
AACGCUGGCGGCAGGCUUAACACAUGCAAGUCGAGCGGUAACAUUUCUAGCUUGCUAGAAGAUGACGAGCGGCGGACGGGUGAGUAAUACUUAGGAAUCUACCUAGUAGUGGGGGAUAGCACGGGGAAACUCGUAUUAAUACCGCAUACGUCCUACGGGAGAAAGGGGGCAACUUGUUGCUCUCGCUAUUAGAUGAGCCUAAGUCGGAUUAGCUAGAUGGUGGGGUAAAGGCCUACCAUGGCGACGAUCUGUAGCUGGUCUGAGAGGAUGAUCAGCCACACCGGGACUGAGACACGGCCCGGACUCCUACGGGAGGCAGCAGUGGGGAAUAUUGGACAAUGGGGGGAACCCUGAUCCAGCCAUGCCGCGUGUGUGAAGAAGGCCUUUUGGUUGUAAAGCACUUUAAGCAGUGAAGAAGACCUAACGGUUAAUACCCGUUAGCGAUGACAUUAGCUGCAGAAUAAGCACCGGC